CUUGAAAAGCAUAAUCUAGAGAGGUCAGGCUAUAUAGUUCCGUUCUCCUGCAGGUGUGGGAUCAUCCCUCACUUUGUGACUGAAGACUUGCCAGGUUCUGGAAACAUCUGGGAAGUAUUUUUGUUGGGGAGAGUUGAACAUCUGAAGAAAAUAACAGAAUGACAUUCCAGGCUGGUGGCUCCCUUCUCAUGCUCUUGCCUUUCCUCCGACCACACCGGGAUCUGCUGGCCUUCAAGGGAAAGCCCAGCCCCAUUACUCACUAGCUCUUUAGACUUAUUCCACCUCCUGGAGCCUCUCUUUUCCUCAUCUGUCAAAAUGGGACCUUCAAGACUUACUCGAACUUGUAGUGACAAUGAAAUAGCAUAAUGCACAGAGAAGCGUCCAUAAUGAGAAGCCAGCAUUCAGAUCCAAGGACACCAAGGAUCCAAUACCAGAAGGAGAAGUCAGACCUCCUGCCUCGAAGACGACCAGUCUUGAAAUGCAUCACAGUUAAUCUGUUACAAAUAACGAAGGAUGGUCCUUGACCCAACGUAUUGCCUCUCUUAAGACUCAGGCAGGAUUUCCAAGCUAAACAAGGGAGAGAGGGCACUGUCCUCCCCACUCCUGUCUUCCUGUUAUUCUGACCCCUGUGGACCCCUGUGGAGUGUCGUGGGGCCCUAGCUGGAGCUGUCAUUGAUACAGUACAGAUGUGAGGGGCAGAGUCAAAGAAGGCCUGUAACCGAAGUGUACAACCCACUGCUUCUGAAAUAGAAUCAAUAUGGAAGUA
Molecule: long non-coding RNA, 766 nt
Organism: Suricata suricatta (meerkat)
Lineage: Eukaryota; Metazoa; Chordata; Mammalia; Carnivora; Herpestidae
Exons: 3
Source: RefSeq, a predicted model, not a curated record